UACGUAGGUGGCAAGCGUUAUCCGGAUUUACUGGGUGUAAAGGGCGUGUAGGCGGGUCUGCAAGUCAGAUGUGAAAUUCCCGGGCUUAACUCGGGAGGGUCAUCUGAAACUGCGGAUCUUGAGUACUGGAGAGGAUAGUGGAAUUCCUAGUGUAGCGGUAAAAUGCGUAGAUAUUAGGAGGAACACCAGUGGCGAAGGCGGCUAUCUGGACAGUAACUGACGCUGAGGCG
This 230-nucleotide ribosomal RNA is filed under the name uncultured microorganism. Its description in RNAcentral is "partial 16S ribosomal RNA". It matches the Rfam family "Bacterial small subunit ribosomal RNA", at positions 524 to 753 of the family's 1533-position model. The record is from RNAcentral.